This 140-nucleotide ribosomal RNA is filed under the name uncultured freshwater bacterium. RNAcentral's name for it is "partial 16S ribosomal RNA". It matches the Rfam family "Bacterial small subunit ribosomal RNA", at positions 338 to 495 of the family's 1533-position model. The record is from RNAcentral.
CCUACGGGAGGCAGCAGUGGGGAAUAUUGGACAAUGGGCGAAAGCCUGAUCCAGCAAUGCCGCGUGAGUGAUGAAGGCCUUAGGGUUGUAAAGCUCUUUUACCCAGGGAUGAUAAUGACAGUACCUGAGAAUAGUCGCCC